This 77-nucleotide transfer RNA is filed under the name Bacteriovoracaceae bacterium. RNAcentral describes it as "tRNA-Arg". It matches the Rfam family "tRNA". From Rfam's summary of the family: Transfer RNA (tRNA) molecules are approximately 80 nucleotides in length. Their secondary structure includes four short double-helical elements and three loops (D, anti-codon, and T loops). Further hydrogen bonds mediate the characteristic L-shaped molecular structure. tRNAs have two regions of fundamental functional importance: the anti-codon, which is responsible for specific mRNA codon recognition, and the 3' end, to which the tRNAs corresponding amino acid is attached (by aminoacyl-tRNA synthetases). tRNAs cope with the degeneracy of the genetic code in two manners: having more than one tRNA (with a specific anti-codon) for a particular amino acid; and 'wobble' base-pairing, i.e. permitting non-standard base-pairing at the 3rd anti-codon position. The record is from RNAcentral. Lineage: Bacteria; Pseudomonadati; Bdellovibrionota; Bacteriovoracia; Bacteriovoracales; Bacteriovoracaceae.
GCAGCCGUAGCUCAGUUGGAUAGAGCAAGCGCCUUCUAAGCGCUAGGUCACACGUUCGAAUCGUGUCGGUUGCGCCA